GACGAACGCCGGCGGCGUGCUUAACACAUGCAAGUCGAACGAUGAAGCUGGAGCUUGCUCCGGUGGAUUAGUGGCGAACGGGUGAGUAACACGUGAGCAAUCUGCCCUUGACUCUGGGAUAACUGCGGGAAACUGUAGCUAAUACCGGAUACGAGACCUGAAGGCAUCUUCGGGUCUGGAAAGAAUUUCGGUCAAGGAUGAGCUCGCGGCCUAUCAGCUUGUUGGUGAGGUAAUGGCUCACCAAGGCGACGACGGGUAGCCGGCCUGGGAGGGUGACCGGCCACACUGGGACUGAGACACGGCCCAGACUCCUACGGGAGGCAGCAGUGGGGAAUAUUGCACAAUGGGCGAAAGCCUGAUGCAGCAACGCCGCGUGAGGGAUGAAGGCCUUCGGGUUGUAAACCUCUUUUAGCAGGGAAGAAGCGAAAGUGACGGUACCUGCAGAAAAAGCACCGGCUAACUACGUGCCAGCCGCCGCGGUAA
RNAcentral lists this ribosomal RNA (483 nucleotides) under uncultured bacterium. RNAcentral's name for it is "partial 16S ribosomal RNA". It matches the Rfam family "Bacterial small subunit ribosomal RNA", at positions 28 to 523 of the family's 1533-position model. The record is from RNAcentral.